Aquila chrysaetos chrysaetos is the source of this 5785-nucleotide long non-coding RNA. RefSeq lists it as uncharacterized. The record is from RefSeq and is a predicted model, not a curated record. Lineage: Eukaryota; Metazoa; Chordata; Aves; Accipitriformes; Accipitridae. The transcript is spliced from 2 exons.
UCUGGCUAAGGAAGAGGAGGAGGAGGAGGAGGACGUGAGCUAGCGAAACGCAGAGGGCUAGAGCUGAUGAUGAAAGAGAGGCACGGCCCUGCGUGAGCAGGCUCGUUUUCAUCAUACGCAGGCACACACACACACACACACACACAGAGAGACGGCGGGCACCCCGCACGCAUGCACACCGCAAUGAACCAAGCGCCCUGCCCGGCAGCCACCGCCGCUCCGGCCCCGGCCCCCGGCCCGGGAAGGGGGCUCGGUCUGCGGCCGGGCAGCCCGGGGGUGAGGAUGGGGACGGUCCUGCCGGGAGGGGACCCAGAGGGAGAAAGAGAGCAACUGGGAGGAAAGGCGCUGCGCUGGAAUGUAAAUGCACCCACGCUAUGGCAAUAUUGCUUGACAGUGCAGGGCGGCUAAUGAAGCUUUUAACUGGGGGGGGGGAGGAGAAGGAAGGUCCUACGGAAAUAUCUUCCGGGAUUAAAACGGAGAGAAGAGGGCUCCUCUUUGUAUUUACACAUACCUAGACGUCUCUCUGUAGCGAAGCAGCCCGCAAGGACCACGAAACUGCAGCACGCACGCACACACAAAAACCCCAAACCCACAGAGCUGAAAAUGGAUAUUUGAAAAAGUAAAUACUGCAUGUGACAAAAAAACUUCGUGAUUUUGUUUUCUCAUGCCCUUACUUCUAAACCAGCUGCACAGCCAAGCUCAGGCUGCUUGGCCCUUAUAACUAUCUUGGCACCGAGUCAAAAGCUGAUAAGCAUUUGGGCGAGACAGCUCAACUGCUGUGCUGGAAGAAAAACAGCUGCCAUGAUUGCUGUUUGAUUGAGAGCGCUUACACACACUCACAAAAAAACAUAUCGGACUGCAAAGACGGGCCACAAAUGCCUGAGGAUUCAGCUUCAGAGGAUCAACACACAUUUCCUUUAAAAAAAAAAAGAAGUUUUAUAUAGUUUCUCCUCCAUUCCUCCUCCCCUUUUUUAAAGAAAACGUACUGCGUUGACUUGCUUUUCUUCUUCCCAUCCCCCCUCCAUAACCUCAAGCAAACUCAAGGAAUUGUGCCAAAAGUCCCGUUGCUAGUUACCAAGUGCAUUUUUUUAAACGUCCCUUUGAUACUUCUUUCCCUCGUGCUUGCCAUGGAAUAUGCAAGUAAGAUAAUCUUUCCAUUACUUACAAGAAGUAAUUAAAAAAGAACUCCUAGCUCCACGUUCCUUUCUCUUUUUCUCUCUUAAGGGGCAAAAGGAGGGAAACGAGGGGGAGAAGGAUGUUUUUUCUCUUUGCCGAGUCCAACAUUUGGCUUUUUCCAUUUGUGGCAGAUCACUGUAACGCUAUUGUAAAACAACUUCCUGCCCCUUUUGGCUCACGUUCCAGAAGCUGCUAGGCUAAGUUCAUAGCACAAACUUUUUUCCCCCUUGCCGAAGAAGAAAGACAAAAAAAAAUUUCCUGCAAAUUAUUUUCCCCCUUUUCUGGCUAAUGGACUCACGAGGUGAAUUGAUUGCAGCUCUUUAAGAAUGUUACACCAGAGACGUCGGUAUCCCAGCUGGAUAAUUCAUAAGCUGAAAAGGCAGCUAUCCACAUUUUAAGAUUCUCCUACAGCUCAUUACCUCCAAACAAAGCACAACUGUAUGAAUGCUUUAAGGCAAAAAACACCCCAAAAAUAAAUGGAACUGACAUUGCCUUGACACUCUCUUUAGUCUUUUAAAUCCUGCAGACAACAGAAAAGCAAUAUUAGUACUGAAGAACACAUGGUAAAAGGAGAUGGACCUCAUAAUUAAUAUGUUUACUAAUGAAAAUACAACUAAGUAACACAAGGGAGGAAAAUACCUAUGCUAACCUGACAAUAUUAUUUUUAUUGGAUAACAGGUAUAGUAAAUAUACCUUUCCCCUCUGGCUUCCACUAAAAUCUAAAGCUAGUGGACUUUGGGAAUUUCAAGUAACGAAUAAAGGACACAGAAGGGUUGGUUUCAGUAUUGCUGUAGUCAGCGUCACUUGCUGCUCACGUACUAACUCUGCUCUUCACGUUCGGCUCAGCUUUGAAUGCAACUUUUCAUUAAAAGGGCACAAUGUUUCAGUUGCUUGGCCACUUCUUUUGUUUAAAGAGCUUGUUUUGCUGUAUUACAGAAUGCACUUUUAAAUCUAAGAGUAGGUUAUUGGGAAUGUUUGUUUAAAUAACACAACUUCAAGAAAACUAAGGGAAAGACGUAACAUUUUACUUGAAAUGACUGGAAUGCAAAGAAAACAAAUAAAAACGAGGAAAGAGAAAGAAAGAGUAAAUUUUGCUGUCUUACACAAAAGAGAGUGAGAGUACUCCGUAUCAGGCAAACACGUAUUGUGGCACGUAAUCCGAAGGAGAAAAAAAAAGAAGGCUUGGAAUUCAGCAACAGUUAAAAAAACGUGGCGUGCUCUCUUCUCCAGAGAGGAGAGUCUGGUGCAGAAGGCAAACCUGCGUAGCAAACGCAGAAGGCCACCCCAGGCUCCCUGCCCCGCGCCCUGGGGAAGCCUGGGGAGAAGGAUGCGCUGGGCAAGGCGGAGGCCGCGGUCCUGCCCACACGCUCCUCCCAGCCCCCCGGCAGGAUCGAGCCACCGCCAGCAGGGUGAAGCCUCCCGCUCCAGAAGGGUGGACUGAACACGAGAGGUGCCCACGACCGUGCAGAAGACGCAGACGGAGAACAUCCGUGGGACGGCUUACUGCUCGUUACCGGAGCAGUCUACGAGAAGUCCGGAGAAACACGACCGCCAACAGCACAGCAGCCAGCAUCUGCAGGAUUGUACCCUAAACCAGCAGGAACGUCAGCCGAACCCACCCUGCGCUCCAUUAUGCCAAUACAGUAGGGUCUUCCAGGGAUUUAUAGUGGUAUAAAAUGUGAAAAAAAAAAAAACCAAACCAGUAAGCCCAGAGAUACCCAAGUCUGAGAGCUAAAAUUUACUGUCAUGCACAUUUUCACCUUGAUCCUGUUCGUGUUGACAGCCACAGAAUACUACUGUAGUAUUACUUAUUUUUGUGAUGGCAACACUGUAAGUUCCCCCCAAUACGCACACAUCCCUUGUGCUCAGUUUUAACCCUGCUGUGUUUUACACAACUUUGCUGUCAUCAGCAAUUAAGGGCUUUUUUUCUUUUUUUGACAGAAGGAAGAAAUGUGGAAAAGCAGUAUUUUGACUCAAGAUAGGUAUUUACAGUUUAACUAUUUUAUGAUCUAUCAUUGUAUUUCACAGAUUUUACCACUGAGCAAAGAACAGCAUAUAGAUGAAAAAUAAUAAACAUCUUUCAGUGAAAGGUAAUAGUUUUCUAUAUGCAAGUCUUCCAGGUAAUUUAUCUCAGCUACCAGGUUUAUCUAUGUUCCCUGGUCACAGCAACUAAAAAUGAGAUGCGUCACAUUCUGCCACCAGUUACUUCUGAAGCCAAAAAAAAAAAAAAAAGAAAAGAAAAAUCAGCAUUUUUGCAUAAAAUUAGUGAUAAAUGUGAGGAUGUCCUAGUUCACUUUGGCUUAGCACCCCACGCUCGGCUUCACAGGGCUCUGUGUGCGUGCGUGCGUGUAUAUUUACUUGGUGCAACACAAAGAAAAUGUUAUGAAAAAGGUGAUGAAUACAAUCUGCUGGGACACAGCAUCACGUUUCCUUACAGGCUGAGAAACAAUGCUUAAUCUGAGACCUCAGAGGCCCAGGUUUAAUGCUGCAAUUGCCACGAGGUUUCUCUCUUUCUUCUAAGAGAAAAAUUCUCUAAUUUUCACUAGUCUAAUGCUUCUUCAUUUGGAACAGUCCAGCGGGGGGAAGGGGAAAAAAAAAAACCAAAACAGUUUAAAGGCUGAAAACAGAGCAAUUGAAUUACUGGCAGCACGAGGGGAAGACCCAAGCAAUAUAUUUAGUUCAACAAGGGAUUAAGUGCCACAGCCAUUGGUAAGUAAAGAGCUAAUACGUCCUCUUUGAAAUAGUUUGACUUUUACUCUCGCUGUGACUGCCGCACGCUCGGAGGUUGGGGUGAGGCAAACCUGAUACUCUGCCAUUCUCUGCCAGCACGUGCCUAAAUUAGUUCUCCAUUUUGUGGUGGCCCUCUGAGAGCAAUUCCCAUUGAGAAGUGAACAAAGGCCGCGACCCCGGGGUCAGAGUGUAAUGCAGGAAGCAUGACCUCCCCUUUGUUCCGAACAGCACUGUUUACUCUGCCUAAGUAAAGAUCACCAAUACAUUAACUAAAGAGGAUUAAAAAGGUCAUAUCCCUAGGGAUGGAGCUCACGCAAGUGGCAACUCUCUUCAGUCACUAAAUCAUUUGACUUUGCUCCUACCCCCCCCCCUUCAAAAUAGAGACACCUUAAGCUGCCAAGGCUCAAUGGCACAUUAAUUCCUGAGCAAAAGUACAUAUGAACUUCAUGUGGUCUUCUUCCAAAACUAGGUUAAUUUCUGCACAGAUAGCCAGCUGUUUUGAAGUUAUUUUUAAAGUUAUAAAAACAUUUUAAGAGAAAACUAGCACCUCAAUACAAUUUUUUUUCUUUUUUAUCUCCUUUUGAAAAGUUCCAAGCUGAUUUAUAAAAUAUUUUGGGUCUUAAAAUGGUUAUUAAAAAGUGUCAUCUUUUGUAGCUAUUAUACAUGUGAAUCUUAAAAUAUCCUGUAGUAUGUGGAUAGGCAGAAAAGUUGCCUGUUGCUGUAGACAAUUUCUAACUCCAGGAUGGUUCACUUGCAAAAAAGAAACCAAGGAAAAUAAAGUGAAAAUAUGCUGCCUACGAGAAUUCACGUAUGCCAAUAGCUAGGCUUAAUCAGGCUAAAUAAGCGCUUCUUUUUUCUGUUAAGCUUUCUGUAUCAACAUUUUUAUAAUAUCUUACAACACCACUAUUAUUAUGAAAUAUAUUAGCAGAAGCAUGUCUUGAAAAGGCUAAAUUAAUGCUGCAUUGGUAACAUAUGCGAGGCGACGUGGCCAAUUAGACGGCAUGCUGGAUUGUCUCCUUUCCACUCCCACCUCUAAUCUGCUGGCCUGCUGGAUGAUCCCAACUUUUGCUUUGUGCCUUGGUUUCCUCAUCUGUGGUGAUAUCGCUCACUGGGAUGCAGAUGUUACCAUCAGUUACUGCGCCAGGAUGGGAGAAAAAGAGCAUGUGGAAGGGAGUGGUCUAGACUAAGAUAUUUUCCCCCUCUCUUCCCUCAGGCAGAAGCACUUCUGAUGAAGCUGAACGUUGCGAGAGGUUCCAGAAGAAAAUAAUAGGAAUAAGGCCACGCAGGGGGUCCAAGCUGAUCAAAGUCUUUGGCGCAGGGAGCUCAGCACCACAGACAAACCCCACAGGGGCUAAAUGCAGUUGAAAUCAGCACUAGAUCACCCACCAUGCCAGCUGACUUUGAAAGGAGGACCGAGGAGUGCCAGACUCCAAAAAACAAGGUCCUAGAGCAGCACAGUGCAGGAGUUCACUGCGUGGAUUACAUAGGGGUAAGGGGGACAGGGUGUUCUUCAAUUCUCAGAUACCUUGUGAAAAAUAGCUAUUUUUGAAUCCACAACAAUACAUGCAGCUUUCUAGUCUCUAGCAACAUAAAUUAAUGCAUAAAGUGUGGCAAGCUGGGGUGUCAUUAUACCCAGCCUGCAUUCACACCGGUACGCUCUGUCCCUUCCCGUCUCUUCUGCUAGCCCUGCAUCCUCAAGCAUCAGGCAGGACGAGGAAGGAAGAUUCUUUGCACUCCUCUUCAGGACAUUCGAGAAGUCACUUUCCCUGUCUGCAGGCUUCUUCAAAGCAGGAACCCAUGCAUUUCAAAUGUUUUCAAAAGGAUGUGAACAGAUAAAUGAAAUCAAGAAUCCAAUAAAAAUAACAUUACAUUUGCCUUA